AAUAAGAGAUUCUCCACAAAUAUCCUCCACAAAAGCCUCCAUGUUCUUAUCCGAAGAUCCUCCUUCUCUACCCGCUUCCAUCGCUAAACGCUUCCAUUUCUUUGCGUUUUCCCUCAACUCCACCGACUUCUCCUCCAUCACGGCUUCCAAACACCUCCUGAUCUCUCCUCUCUCCACCAAACCAUCCUUGUUCUCUCUUACCCUCACACCAGUCUUCCAACUUUCUUCCAGUAGCUUCGCGUUCGUCGGUUGAUCCGACCACAUCGGAAACGCCACAACCGGAACGCCAAGAACCAAACUCUCCAGCGUCGAGCUCCACCCACAAUGAGUCACAAAACAACCUACGGCUCGGUGACUUAAAACCUCUAUCUGCGAACACCACGACACAAUCAUCCCAACCUCUUCAAGCUCGUGUCUGAAUCCAGCUAUCUUCUCAAUCUCUGUCUCUUCUUCUCCUUCUGUUUUCGUUUCUCUGUUGGAUUUAUCAGUUAUAACCCACAAAAACGGUCGUUUCCCUUCUAUGAGUGCUCUCGCUAGUUCCUCUAUCUGUUUCUUGGACAACUCAACCAUUGUUCCAAAGGAAACGUAAAUAACAGAGGACUCUGUUUUCGAGUCUAGCCAAAGUGUAUAACUACUACUUUGAUCUUUAACUGAUUUGUUGGUGCUUCCUGAGAAAAUCUCCGUGGGAAGUAAAGGACCAACCGCCACCAUAUCGAUAUUCGGGAAAGCCGUUAAGGCCUCUGGUUCCAGCGAAUCGAAAGUGUUGAUGAGAAUUUUCGGUUUGGUUUCUUUUAUGAGAAACUCCAUCAUUUCUUGAAACGCAUCGUAUGCGCCUUUGUUUGUGUUGGAAGGUGUGAGGAAAGAUGGAAGAUCUCUGAUUUCCAGAGAAGACAGAUUAGGUAACUCGAAAACGGACUUGUUUCCCAUGAAAUGAGUGUAAUAGAUGUUGAAAACCAAAGCCGGUUGGAUCCAGAGAAGAGCGGAGGGAAGUUGAAAUCUACGUGCUACUUUUGGAGCCCAAUUGAGAAGAAUCGUGUAGAUCAAGCAAGUCACGGGAGAGUCACCAUUCUUAGUAGCUUCGAUGAAAUCCGAUAGUGCCUUAUCGCCGUUAACCUUGAGAUUCACCGACCUUUUCUGACGGUCUUCGUAGGUGGAAAUGCCUCCAUCGUCGAAACCGUCGGAGAAAGUAAGGAAAGAGAGAUUUUCGACUUUGUUGUGGUUUGCGAUCAUGGAGUUGUGGAAGACGGAGACACAAGUGACGAAAGUGACACGUGCGCCGGUUCUUUUGAUGAGCCGACGAGCAAAACGGAGAGAUGGGUUCACGUGACCUUGCGCCGGAAACGUUACCAGUAGAAAAUGCGGUGGCGCCAUUUUUUUUCUACUUGUCUUAGCUCCACUGAAGUGAGUAUCAAUACAAGAAUCUGUGUCUCUCCUUGUGGAUAUAUCUGUGCUUUCAUAUGUAUAUAUAUACAUAUAUAUAAAUAUAGAUGAGGAAUUGGAUUUUG
Molecule: small RNA, 1505 nt
Filed under: Arabidopsis thaliana (thale cress)
Lineage: Eukaryota; Viridiplantae; Streptophyta; Magnoliopsida; Brassicales; Brassicaceae
Description: ATSL003460
Source: RNAcentral